AGAGUUUGAUCCUGGCUCAGAACGAACGCUGGCGGCAGGCUUAACACAUGCAAGUCGAGCGCCCCGCAAGGGGAGCGGCAGACGGGUGAGUAACGCGUGGGAACAUACCCUUUGGUUCGGAAUAACUCAGGGAAACUUGAGCUAAUACCGGAUACGUCCGUAAGGAGAAAGAUUUAUCGCCAAAGGAUUGGCCCGCGUCCGAUUAGCUAGUUGGUGAGGUAACGGCUCACCAAGGCUACGAUCGGUAGCUGGUCUGAGAGGAUGAUCAGCCACAUUGGGACUGAGACACGGCCCAAACUCCUACGGGAGGCAGCAGUGGGGAAUAUUGGACAAUGGGCGCAAGCCUGAUCCAGCCAUGCCGCGUGAGUGAUGAAGGCCUUAGGGUUGUAAAGCUCUUUUGUCCGGGAAGAUAAUGACUGUACCGGAAGAAUAAGCCCCGGCUAACUUCGUGCCAGCAGCCGCGGUAAUACGAAGGGGGCUAGCGUUGUUCGGAAUCACUGGGCGUAAAGCGCACGUAGGCGGACCGUUAAGUCGGAGGUGAAAGCCUGGGGCUCAACCCCAGAACUGCCUUCGAUACUGGCGGUCUUGAGUAUGGUAGAGGUUGGUGGAACUCCGAGUGUAGAGGUGAAAUUCGUAGAUAUUCGGAAGAACACCAGUGGCGAAGGCGGCCAACUGGACCAUUACUGACGCUGAGGUGCGAAAGCGUGGGGGAGCAAACAGGAUUAGAUACCCUGGUAGUCCACGCUGUAAACGAUGAGAGCUAGCCGUUGGGGUGCAUGCACCUCAGUGGCGCAGCUAAC
This 800-nucleotide ribosomal RNA is filed under the name uncultured bacterium. RNAcentral describes it as "bacterial SSU rRNA". It matches the Rfam family "Bacterial small subunit ribosomal RNA", at positions 8 to 856 of the family's 1533-position model. The record is from RNAcentral.